RNAcentral lists this unclassified non-coding RNA (326 nucleotides) under soil metagenome. RNAcentral's name for it is "partial contains 5.8S ribosomal RNA, internal transcribed spacer 2, and large subunit ribosomal RNA". The stretch from base 1 to 120 matches the Rfam family "5.8S ribosomal RNA", at positions 35 to 154 of the family's 154-position model. The record is from RNAcentral.
GAUGAAGAACGUAGCGAAAUGCGAUAAGUAAUGUGAAUUGCAGAAUUCAGUGAAUCAUCGAAUCUUUGAACGCACAUUGCGCCCCUUGGUAUUCCGAGGGGCAUGCCCGUUCGAGCGUCAUUAUACCCCUCAAGCCUAGCUUGGUGUUGGGGCCUGCUGUUACCGGCAGCCCUUAAAAUCAGUGGCGGUGCCAUCUGGCUCUAAGCGUAGUAAUACUUCUCGCUACAGGGUCCCGGUGGAUGCUUGCCAUCAACCCCUAAUUUUCUAUGGUUGACCUCGGAUCGGGUAGGGAUACCCGCUGAACUUAAGCAUAUCAAUAACGGAGA